GAAAACCUUACGGAUAAACAUUCGAGCCAUCGCACCCUAGGGACGACGACUUCCCUUCCCCCUUCUCACCCUUCUCCUCUCCUGCCAUCCCCUCUCCUCUCCUUCCCUCCCUUUUUCCCACAGAUCCUUCUUUGUUAUUUUGUUUUGAGGUGUGGAAGAAGCCGUCGUGAAAUGUUGUGAUCGUUGUGAUAGUAGCCGUCGUUUGGCCCACAUACGCAAAGAUUUAACUCCAGUUGUCAACCUUCAACAUGGAUUUGGAGCUGCAAGGAGGGGAAGAUGUUAGAUUAUGUUAGGUUCGGGUUUAACAAUAUAUCACUAUGGGUUUAGAUGGUAAGACACUAUGGUUUUCUUCUGGUUGCCUGGGAGGAUGUGAAGUCGUGGUUCUUCUUCUUCUUCUUUUGUUUAUGUCUAAUAAAAAUGUUAGGAACUCUUUAGGUGUUCGUUGUGUCUUUUUUCCUCCUUAUAAGGUUUUAUUUUUGUUUAACUUUCAGCUUUUAAUAUGGAUUUGUCGUUUAUGCCAAUGCAUGUCGGAUUUGUACUGCAUGUUUCAACAUGUGUACUUCUAGUUGCUGAAUCAGAG
RNAcentral lists this long non-coding RNA (580 nucleotides) under Prunus dulcis (almond). Its description in RNAcentral is "sRNA ncRNA". Lineage: Eukaryota; Viridiplantae; Streptophyta; Magnoliopsida; Rosales; Rosaceae. The record is from RNAcentral.